Molecule: long non-coding RNA, 813 nt
Filed under: Heterocephalus glaber (naked mole-rat)
Lineage: Eukaryota; Metazoa; Chordata; Mammalia; Rodentia; Bathyergidae
Description: lncRNA (ENSHGLG00100049696.1)
Source: RNAcentral
UUGUUAUUUAUUUUCGCUCCAGGCAAAGCGAUUUGGCGGGAGAGGGUUGGGACUCCAAGACAACUCCAUUGCUGGAGGAGGCCCCAACCUGGGAGAAGAGAGGUUUAGAGAAAUCAGUAGAGCUCAGAGAAGCGAAACCGAAAGGGGGUGUUGGGGACAAGGAGGAGGGAUCCAAGAGGGAGAGUGCAUCCAGGCUGGGUUCUGAAGGAUGAACCGGAGCUCGCGGGCAGGGGGGAGGGGCGAGUGUACCGAGGGCCGCGGCCUUCCAGGAAGAAGGGACAGCGCGUCCUAAGGCACAGGAGCGUGAAAGCCCCCACGGUGCUGUGUUUGGCUUUGUUGCAGCGGAAAAAAGCGAGGGAGGAGAGACAGGAGAUAAGGCUGGCGCGGGAUCGAACUCGGGACCUUGUGGUUGCGAGGCAGGCGGCGGAACCACUGAGUCUGGGCCGUAGCAACUGGCACAUGAGAGACACUCAUUCAAUAUUUUGGGCGUGCAUAAAUGCAUCAUCUAUGCCUUUUAGAGCUAUAGAUCCACAAGUCCCAAAUAGAACACAUUUGGGGCCCAGAAGGGAGCACACAGAUGCAUCGAGCAGGCCAGAAUGGCAUCAGAGAAGAGCAGCCUGCCUGAAGGCACAACUUUUAAUUUCUACCCAAACAACCAACAGGUGAUGAAACAAAAUAAACAAGACUAAAGGCAGGAUUUGACUGGUUUUCUGACUUCUGCUCUGGAUGGCUCAAGUCUCUCUUUUUCAAUCUUCGGGCCAUGACCAUGAGCGAAUGGUGAAAUCAGUCUAGCAGGGUACAGGUACAACUAGC